GACGAACGCUGGCGGCGUGCUUAACACAUGCAAGUCGAACGGAAAGGCCCUGCUUUUGUGGGGUGCUCGAGUGGCGAACGGGUGAGUAACACGUGAGUAACCUGCCCUUGACUUUGGGAUAACUUCAGGAAACUGGGGCUAAUACCGGAUAGGAGCUCCUGCUGCAUGGUGGGGGUUGGAAAGUUUCGGCGGUUGGGGAUGGACUCGCGGCUUAUCAGCUUGUUGGUGGGGUAGUGGCUUACCAAGGCUUUGACGGGUAGCCGGCCUGAGAGGGUGACCGGCCACAUUGGGACUGAGAUACGGCCCAGACUCCUACAGGAGGCAGCAGUGGGGAAUAUCGCACAAUGGGCGGAAGCCUGAUGCAGCAACGCCGCGUGCGGGAUGACGGCCUUCGGGUUGUAAACCGCUUUCGCCUGUGACGAAGCGUGAGUGACGGUAAUGGGUAAAGAAGCACCGGCUAACUACGUG
Molecule: ribosomal RNA, 468 nt
Filed under: uncultured bacterium
Lineage: Bacteria
Description: partial 16S ribosomal RNA
Rfam family: Bacterial small subunit ribosomal RNA
Source: RNAcentral